GCGGACGUGGUGGAACAGUAGACACCUCGGCCCGAGGAGCCGAUGGGCGAAAGCCCAUGAGGGUGCGAUUCCCUCUGUCCGCACCA
Molecule: transfer RNA, 86 nt
Filed under: Opitutus terrae PB90-1
Lineage: Bacteria; Pseudomonadati; Verrucomicrobiota; Opitutia; Opitutales; Opitutaceae
Description: tRNA-Leu (GAG) (tRNA-Leu-GAG-2-1)
Rfam family: tRNA
About the family: Transfer RNA (tRNA) molecules are approximately 80 nucleotides in length. Their secondary structure includes four short double-helical elements and three loops (D, anti-codon, and T loops).
Source: RNAcentral